Molecule: ribosomal RNA, 301 nt
Filed under: uncultured bacterium
Lineage: Bacteria
Description: partial 16S ribosomal RNA
Rfam family: Bacterial small subunit ribosomal RNA
Source: RNAcentral
CAGUCGCCGCGGGAAUACGAAGGGUGCAAGCGUUACUCGGAAUUACUGGGCGUAAAGCGUGCGUAGGUGGUGGUUUAAGUCCGUUGUGAAAGCCCUGGGCUCAACCUGGGAAUUGCAGUGGAUACUGGAUCACUAGAGUGUGGUAGAGGAUAGUGGAAUUUCCGGUGUAGCAGUGAAAUGCGUAGAGAUCGGAAGGAACAUCUGUGGCGAAGGCGACUAUCUGGGCCAACACUGACACUGAGGCACGAAAGCGUGGGGAGCAAACAGGAUUAGAUACCCGGGUAGUCCCUGUCUCUUAUAC